Non-coding RNA from Camellia sinensis, 1061 nucleotides. The record is from RefSeq and is a predicted model, not a curated record. NCBI's taxonomy places the organism in Eukaryota, Viridiplantae, Streptophyta, Magnoliopsida, Ericales, Theaceae.
AUGGGUAAAUCAAUUCCCUCAUCUCCUCUCUCUCUAGCGAGAAGAGAGACCUACCGUCUUCUCACCUCUCUCAUUGACAUCCAAUUCCACCCACCAAUGGCGUGGCCGUGGCCACAGGUCACCACCACCAUCGCCAUCUUGAUCCUAUUUCUCGUGGCUGAGGUCGUUUCCUCUGGCGAAGCAACCACCACCAUCCUCCGACCACCCCACAGCGGCAGCAAUCGCCACACCAUGUUCUUCUCCCUCUUUCUCUUUCUCUCCUCCUAGCAGCUCUUCCAACAACUCCUCUCCUUCCGUCCGCCGCCAGAUUCAAGGAUCUGACCCUCUCCACCCUAACGCUCGCAUACUCCUCUAUGGCGAUCUCCUUCUUAACGGGAUUCAGAUGCUUAUAUUCGGAAAAGGGUCCUUGAACUUGUGUAUCUUCUUGUAAAUGAAAGCAAUGUAAAGUCUCUGACAAAAGAGCUUAUUGAAUAUCUGGAAGUAAGUGAGCAAGAUUUCAAAGGAGAUCUUACUGCCAAAAUUUGCUUCAUUGUUGGAAAGAGAAUGGUGAUGGAACUUCUAGGGAUAAAUCUAGAAUGGUGGAUGGUGAAACCGAGGACUCCUGUACCAAACCAGAAAUAUCUAGUAAAAAAUCAGGCAUUGAUCAUUGUAGCAAUGAGGAAAGUAAUCCUGCAAAAACUGAUGCAAUGAAUGGUUUUUGACGUACAAAUGUGGAUAUGACUUUUUUUGACAAGUACGGAAGGGCAUUGUUUUUAUAUCUCCGUCCGUAUAUAUAGUGGUUCAUACAAAUUAGAUUUUCGGCGUAGUAAAUAUCCAAAAUUUGGCCUGAUAGAAAUUAGCAUUGGACGUGGUACAAAUUAGUUUUUGGAGCGGUGCAGAAUAAAUUUUUGGUGUGGUAUAGAUUUCCUUUUGGAUAUUAAAUUUGGUUAAUCCUCUAAUAUGUAUGGAAUUAAAUUAUUGGGGUUGAAUUAUACUUGGUUCGUAUGGAAUUUGUAUUACAUUUAGAAUUGGACGUUGAAUAUAAAUUUUUUGGAUGGUUGGAAGUGAAAUGUGUGCACGUU